Molecule: long non-coding RNA, 1488 nt
Organism: Falco peregrinus (peregrine falcon)
Lineage: Eukaryota; Metazoa; Chordata; Aves; Falconiformes; Falconidae
Exons: 3
Source: RefSeq, a predicted model, not a curated record
CUCAGAGCCUGCGUGCAUGGGAGCUCUUCCAGGCUGAGGAGGAGGAGAUCUGACAUGAGGUUCCUCUACCAGUAAAAUCUUAGAGUGACUUCAAUUAAUUGCACAGGAUGGAAGACCAGAAUGAGAAAGAGCCUUUUGCUUCUGUCGAUAAGCCCUUGGUAGAGCCUCGUGUUAUGGCAACAGGAACUCUAUGGCAGCCCUUCUAGGUGUUGAGCAGCUCCUCUGAGAUCCUGAGUCUUCUGGCUGCCUGCUGAAGUCAACAGGAACGGGGGGCAGGGAGUCUCAGUAUCACAUACCUGUGUGCCCACCAGGAUGAAACUUGUCCCACCUCAAGCAGCCUCAAGCAGAGGAAAGCCUGGGAUUUUACUGCACCACCCUGAUACGGUGUGCCCCAAGCCCCAAAACAGGGACACUUGACUCAACCACUGUUUCAUAACCUGCUUAAGAAUAAAAACGCAUUGUGCAUUUGUGUGCAUUUCAUGCCCUCUUAAGGUAGGUAUAGCAAGUAACCUUGUGCAAGAAACCGCUUCCUUGCUUGCUUGCUUGCUUCCCUUUGCCUACCUAAAUGUGUUCCCUUCAAAUUUUAUCUGCCCAGAGACUCCUUUAACGAAUGCAGUACUAUCCAAUGCACCAGCUGGUUCAGUGGCAUCGUAUCGUGCACAAACAUCUGUGGAUCCAGAGUGCCGUCAGAGGAAAUGUCCUGUAUUGCCUGCUUGGAAGGACUGUCCCCCUUCCCUGGAGCCAUGGCCCAGAGACGGUGUCAAUGUCUCUGGUUCAUUUUUUCAGCCAGAGUCAAUGGCAUGUUCAUAUACUCAGACCUGUGCUGACAAACUCAGCCUAUGUUACUCAUUAAGUUCAAUGGGAUUAUCCUCAUGACAAAGGAGAUACAAGGCCAGUCAUUAUGUUUUCAUGUUUAACUUGUUGUACUUUGGUUUUGAAUCACAAGUGACUUUUUUAAGCUCCAGAGAGCACCUGUGAUGUGAUCUGAACUCAUCAGUUCUCUUUUAAUGGACCUAACUGGUCCAUUCAAGCAUUAUCGGGGAUCUCGUGGUAAUAUUGCAGGAGCUGGUUACAAUGGAAAUUCAUGUCGGCUCUCUGGAUGUGGGAGAAGAGCACAGAAAACCCCAGCCAAGACAGAUGAACUCCUCCAGCCAGCCAGGAAGGGACCACAUGCUUAAAGAUGCACAGAAUUUAUUUUAAAACUCCAAACUCAGUCUGGUGAAAAAAAAGGAGUGUUAAUCCCUAUAUAAUCAUGUCAUGAAAAAUAUUGCUAUUAAUAGGACAAAAGCGUGAACACUAGCUACCAUCCCUCUCUCUCGUGUACAUACAUCUUCAGGGAUGAAGAGUUUCACUAUGCCUACCUCCACUGCUAACAUUCCGGGGUUUCCAACCCAUUUCUAGAGCAAUUUACUCAGCAUCUGGUGCACAUCCAAUCUAAAUUUUGAAAAAGCAGCCGACCCAACCUGCUCCCACUUAAGUCAAUGACAA